UAAGACGAACCUGACAAACGUUAUUCGGAAUUACUGGGCUUAAAGGGUGCGUAGGCGGCGCGACAAGUUGGGUGUGAAAUCCCUCGGCUCAACCGAGGAACUGCGCUCAAUACUGUCGUGCUCGAGGGAGACAGAGGUGAGCGGAACUUAGGGUGGAGCGGUGAAAUGCGUUGAUAUCCUAAGGAACACCGGUAGCGAAAGCGGCUCACUGGGUCUUUUCUGACGCUGAGGCACGAAAGCUAGGGUAGCGAACGGG
This 256-nucleotide ribosomal RNA is filed under the name uncultured archaeon. Its description in RNAcentral is "partial 16S ribosomal RNA". It matches the Rfam family "Bacterial small subunit ribosomal RNA", at positions 521 to 776 of the family's 1533-position model. The record is from RNAcentral.